Molecule: ribosomal RNA, 1470 nt
Filed under: metagenome
Description: bacterial SSU rRNA
Rfam family: Bacterial small subunit ribosomal RNA
Source: RNAcentral
AGAGUUAGAUCCUGGCUCAGGACGAACGCUGGCGGCACGCUUAACACAUGCAAGUCGAACGAGAGAAGAGGAGCUUGCUUUUCUGAUCUAGUGGCGGACGGGUGAGUAACACGUGAGCAAUCUGCCUUUCAGAGGGGGAUACCGAUUGGAAACGAUCGUUAAUACCGCAUAACAUAAUUGAACCGCAUGAUUUGAUUAUCAAAGAUUUAUCGCUGAAAGAUGAGCUUGCGUCUGAUUAGCUAGUUGGUAAGGUAACGGCUUACCAAGGCGACGAUCAGUAACCGGACUGAGAGGUUGAUCGGCCACAUUGGGACUGAGACACGGCCCAGACUCCUACGGGAGGCAGCAGUGGGGAAUAUUGCACAAUGGAGGAAACUCUGAUGCAGCGAUGCCGCGUGAGGGAAGAAGGUUUUAGGAUUGUAAACCUCUGUCUUCAGGGACGAAAAAAGACGGUACCUGAGGAGGAAGCUCCGGCUAACUACGUGCCAGCAGCCGCGGUAAUACGUAGGGAGCGAGCGUUGUCCGGAAUUACUGGGUGUAAAGGGAGCGUAGGCGGGAUCGCAAGUCAGAUGUGAAAACUAUGGGCUCAACCCAUAAACUGCAUUUGAAACUGUGGUUCUUGAGUGAAGUAGAGGUAAGCGGAAUUCCUAGUGUAGCGGUGAAAUGCGUAGAUAUUAGGAGGAACAUCAGUGGCGAAGGCGGCUUACUGGGCUUUAACUGACGCUGAGGCUCGAAAGCGUGGGGAGCAAACAGGAUUAGAUACCCUGGUAGUCCACGCCGUAAACGAUGAUUACUAGGUGUGGGGGGACUGACCCCUUCCGUGCCGCAGCAAACGCAAUAAGUAAUCCACCUGGGGAGUACGACCGCAAGGUUGAAACUCAAAGGAAUUGACGGGGGCCCGCACAAGCAGUGGAGUAUGUGGAUUAAUUCGAAGCAACGCGAAGAACCUUACCAGGUCUUGACAUCGUAUGCAUAGCUCAGAGAUGAGUGAAAUCUCUUCGGAGACAUAUAGACAGGUGGUGCAUGGUUGUCGUCAGCUCGUGUCGUGAGAUGUUGGGUUAAGUCCCGCAACGAGCGCAACCCUUACUGUUAGUUGCUACGCAAGAGCACUCUAGCAGGACUGCCGUUGACAAAACGGAGGAAGGUGGGGAUGACGUCAAAUCAUCAUGCCCCUUAUGACCUGGGCCUCACACGUACUACAAUGGCUGUCAACAGAGGGAAGCAAAGCCGCGAGGUGGAGCGAACCCCUAAAAGCAGUCUUAGUUCGGAUUGUAGGCUGCAACCCGCCUACAUGAAGUCGGAAUUGCUAGUAAUCGCAGAUCAGCAUGCUGCGGUGAAUACGUUCCCGGGCCUUGUACACACCGCCCGUCACGCCAUGGGAGUCGGUAACACCCGAAGCCUGUAGUCUAACCGCAAGGAGGACGCAGUCGAAGGUGGGAUUGAUGACUGGGGUGAAGUCGUAACAAGGUA